UCACAGGCAGCUGCCCAGGAGCUGCCCUCAUUUUAGGCUGGCCUGUAGACUGACGUGACUUCACAGUGUGCAUGCAGCUCCCUGGAGAACAGUCAGGUAGUCACAAGUGCAAUGCUGGUCCAUGACCUGGAGCUGUUGGAGGUGACAUCUUUCAUCAACAUUCUGGUCACAGUCAGAGAAGGUACUGCUUUUCAUGAGGGAGAUGAGGACUAAAGCCCUGGAGAUCUACUUCAUCAGACUCCCAUCAGCCGUAACUGAAGAUGCCUGUACUUACUUCGAGUCAGUUAAGAACAAAGACACACAUUAGCCUAAACUGGUUUCAGUGCUGAGCUUACCCUGUCUGUGUAUAUAAUUUUAUAUCACUUUGCUUGAUAUUCAUAAUGGAGGGCAUAGUCAAGACGUUUCUCAGUGAUAACUUUCUGCUCUUCUUUUGUCCCAUAUAAACUUGCCUUCAAUGUACAACAACUACAUGAAGUUCAGACAUAGCCUAGCUUUCUAUCAAGAUUGCAGCUAAAUUGUCCUACAUGAGAUUUUGAAUUGUUUAGUCCCAUGUGAAGGUUCAGAUGUGGAUGUAUGCUAGUGUGUAGGAUGGCAUUGAUUUGUGGCUACUGAUUCUCCUGUACAUAAUAAAAAACUGAGAAAGCAUUGACAUAGGAAAGAGUUUAUGUCUGUAAAUAGGUUUCUAUGAUGCUCCUUGUGAUUUCUCAUGGAGAAAGAAAUGAGACCAUUAACAUUAUAAAUUUUGACUUCAUCCAGAAUGCAGGCUAGAGAUCCAGACUACCUCCAUAUCUGCUCCAUAAAAAAAGUAUGUAUAGAUAUGGAAGUGAAACAACAUAAUUGUUUGGGUUCCUUUUGGUUUUGCUUUUUUGGAGGGGGAAAGAGAUGGUUAAUCUAGGCUAGAGGAUGAUGUCCAGAAAGAGCUAGGGAAUGAGCACAAGUAGUAGGUCUCAGAGCAGUAGCUGUUAACUUGCUUUCUGGUUUUCCUCCAGCUACCUCUCCUAGACUGUCUAAAUAUGUUUGAGGUGACAAUAUACUAUUGAGACUGUUUCCAAAGUUCAGUACCAGCAAAGCUGCAGUAAAUCUCUUUUCAUGUACAGUUCUCUGCCUCUAUCCUAAAUGCCUGUCACCAUCAAAUACUCUUGUAGGCCAUGCAAAAUUAU
Molecule: long non-coding RNA, 1160 nt
Organism: Lagopus muta (rock ptarmigan)
Lineage: Eukaryota; Metazoa; Chordata; Aves; Galliformes; Phasianidae
Exons: 3
Source: RefSeq, a predicted model, not a curated record